Molecule: long non-coding RNA, 313 nt
Organism: Brienomyrus brachyistius
Lineage: Eukaryota; Metazoa; Chordata; Actinopteri; Osteoglossiformes; Mormyridae
Exons: 4
Source: RefSeq, a predicted model, not a curated record
GCAUUAGAGACACUGGGGUUACUGGUACAGCUGUAGUAGGUCCAAUAGACACACUGGGGUUACUGGUGCAGCUGUGGCAGGUGGAUUAGAGACACUGGGGUUACUGGUACAGCUGUAGUAGGUCCAAUAGAGACACUCGGGUUACUGAUACGGUUGUGGCAGGUGGAUUAGAGACACUGGGGUUACUGGUACAGCUGUAGUAGGUCCAAUAGAGACACUGGGGUUACUGGUACAGCUGUGGCAGGUGGAUUAGAGACACUGGGGUUACUGGUACAGCUGUAGUAGGUGGAUUAGAGACACUGGGACUAUUGGC